RNAcentral lists this ribosomal RNA (652 nucleotides) under uncultured Bacteroidota bacterium. Its description in RNAcentral is "bacterial SSU rRNA". It matches the Rfam family "Bacterial small subunit ribosomal RNA", at positions 60 to 705 of the family's 1533-position model. The record is from RNAcentral. Lineage: Bacteria; Pseudomonadati; Bacteroidota.
AGUCGACGGCAGCACAGUGUAGCAAUACAUGGGUGGCGAGUGGCGCACGGGUGCGUAACACGUAUGCAAUUUGCCCAUAACUGGGGGAUAGCCCUCCGAAAGGAGGAUUAAUACCCCAUAACCCAGCGAGGUGGCAUCACCUUUCUGGUAAAUCUCCGGAGGUUAUGGAUGAGCAUGCGUCUGAUUAGCUAGUUGGUGAGGUAACGGCUCACCAAGGCAACGAUCAGUAGGGGGUCUGAGAGGAUGAUCCCCCACACGGGUACUGAGACACGGACCCGACUCCUACGGGAGGCAGCAGUAAGGAAUAUUGGACAAUGGAGGCAACUCUGAUCCAGCCAUGCCGCGUGAAGGAUGAAGGCCCUACGGGUUGUAAACUUCUUUUCUCUUAGAAAAAACUACUGGUUUCGUACCGGUACUGAUUGUACAAGAGGAAUAAGCAUCGGCUAACUUCGUGCCAGCAGCCGCGGUAAUACGAAGGAUGCAAGCGUUAUCCGGAUUCACUGGGUUUAAAGGGUGUGCAGGUGGGGUAAUAAGUCGGUGGUGAAAGCCCCCGACUCAAUCGGGGAACUGCCAUAGAUACUGUUAUUCUUGAGUGUGGUUGAGGCGGAUGGAGUAUGACAUGUAGCGGUGAAAUGCUUAGAUAUGUCAUAGA